GAAGGCCUACGGGACGCAGCAGUGAGGAAUAUUGGUCAAUGGGCGCAAGCCUGAACCAGCCAAGUCGCGUGAGGGAUGACGGUCCUAUGGAUUGUAAACCUCUUUUGUCGGGGAGCAAGGCCCGCCACGUGUGGCGGGAAGGAGAGUACCCGAAGAAAAAGCAUCGGCUAACUCCGUGCCAGCAGCCGCAGUAAUACGGAGGAUGCGAGCGUUAUCCGGAUUUAUUGGGUUUAAAGGGUGCGUAGGCGGAAGGUUAAGUCAGCGGGCAAAUGUCGGGGCUCAACACCGGCCUGCCGUUGAA
RNAcentral lists this ribosomal RNA (301 nucleotides) under uncultured bacterium. RNAcentral describes it as "bacterial SSU rRNA". It matches the Rfam family "Bacterial small subunit ribosomal RNA", at positions 333 to 631 of the family's 1533-position model. The record is from RNAcentral.